Molecule: long non-coding RNA, 1297 nt
Organism: Carassius carassius (crucian carp)
Lineage: Eukaryota; Metazoa; Chordata; Actinopteri; Cypriniformes; Cyprinidae
Exons: 3
Source: RefSeq, a predicted model, not a curated record
CACAGAUGCAGGAAACAACACAAAAUCUAACUACACAAGAUCCCCCAACAACUUGCUUAAACAUUGCCACAACAAUCCCAACAACAAGCAUCCCUCCACUGACCAUCAGCGAUCAGUGGUGGAUAUGGCUAGCAUUGGCAGCUGGAUGCGUAGUGCUACUUGUGUCAAUUGUUGUCAUAUGGAUCUUGACUCGCAAACCUGAAGAGAACAUCUAUGAGAACACCAAACCAGUGGAAUCAAGCUGCUGGAGGCGAAACCAGACCAAGAUGGACAUUUGCGACGUGCAGUCCAAAAAAACUGAUACCAUUAAACCGCUGAGGAAGUACGACACUCUUUCAAGCAACAGAAUCCGCAGGCCAUAAGCAUUACAUAUGACAGAAAUAUAUUAAAUAUCUGAUUUCAAAUGCCUUACCAUGGACACAUAUUAAAUUUUGUAAUGUAGCAUUUCCCGAGAUGGUAAGAUGUAAAUAUUUCUUUUUUUCUUUCUUUCAUUUUUUGUCAGAAAGAGAUACAUGAGAAAACCUGAUAUUUUUCCUUUAAUGACUUUCAGUUGUAUCAUACUGAAACAUUCUGUGGUUACAAAUACAUGUGAAAAACAAUGAAAAGAAAAAUCUGCUACACUCCUUUUCCACUCGCAAUUAAUAAAGCAUAUUAUUGUGACUCUACAAGUAGGUCUAGGCAUUUCAGAACCAACAUAAAGAUGAAUCGACCAUGAUUAGAAAACAAACCACAUAGCCUACUGUGAGAGUGGCAAAUGAGAGAAGAAAAUAAGGAAUUGAGCUGUUUCAUACUUAUGAAUCAUUAAUUCUUAUGUAGUCAUUAAAGGAACUGAGAAUUUUCUUUGAACACCCGUUUCAACAUAACUCAACUCAGACAUUGACCUUACUUUGGUUAGAUGCCAUAUUGAAUUUAACACAUAUUAAAUGUGAAGGACAUACUUACAGUCUUUGCAAUGGCACGCACUGUAUAUAUCAAAACUCCUAAUAACUGAAAACACUGUUCUGUGGUUUUUUUUUCUACUGAAGCUUUUUGAACAAUGAUGUUGUUAAACAACAAUACAAUCGAUUGAACGCAAUGUACUUCUACCCCUCACAGCCUCGUUUCAUUCGGACCAAAAAUGUGAUAACGUUACUCGACGUUAUAACCUACCUCAAAUCUUGAAAAAAACUUAAAUGAACACAUCACUAUUUUUGAAAAUAGGAUCAUUUUCCAACUUCCCUAGAGUUAAACAGUUGAGUUUUACCGUUUUCUAAUCAUUAGGCCGAUCUUCAGGUCUGGCGUUUGCACUUUUAGCUUA